AUGCAUCUCCGUUGGCCACUUCCUGGCGAUGAUCUCCUUAUCCAUGAUGGGAGGGAGUGGCUAAUAUCACUGCUGUCGAAAUGCUCGACGGAGGUCCAGGAUAUGCUGAUUAUGUUCUUCUGGCGGAUUUGGCAGUUGCGUAAUGAUUUGACCAACGGGAAGGAGGUGCCUUCUGUGCCAGCCACCGUCGAAUUUUUGGACAGUUACUACAAGUCCAUAAGACUCGUUGCACGUUACUCUACGGAGGAGAUCAUUAAAGGGAAGAUGUCGACCUCGGCGGUGGCGUUGCCAGUCUCAGGUGUCAAGCCGCCGGCAGAUCCCUGGCCGGCGCCGCCGCUUGGCAGGCUGGUGCUGUCAGUCGAAGGCUCCUUUCUGCAUGAGGAUGGCUCUGCGGGCGUCGGUAUGGUGCUCCGGAACGACAGAGGCGAGGUCCUAAUGGCAGCUUACCGGUUCAUCUUCUACUGCAAUGACCCACUUGAGGCAGAAUUGCAUGCGAUCAUGCAGGGGUUGGCCCUAGCAUUACAACACUCUGAUUUACCGGUGGUGGUUCAAACGGACUCCUCUGAAGCAUUGUCUAGCUUGACAAAUGAUGCACUUCUUCGCUUGGCCUAUGGACAGAUCAUCUUGGAGAUCAAGUCACUCUUAGAUAGUAGGGAGUUUUUUUCUCAAAAGAUUAGUAGACUUCAAAAUAGAGUUGCCGAUCGGUUGGCUAAGUAUAGCCGCACCGAGCGAGCCACGGCUGUUUGGCUUGGCUCGGUUCCACCAUGUAUCGAGGAUUUAUGGCCUCUCGACUGUAACUCUAUACCUAUGCAAUAA
Molecule: ribosomal RNA, 816 nt
Filed under: Triticum aestivum (bread wheat)
Lineage: Eukaryota; Viridiplantae; Streptophyta; Magnoliopsida; Poales; Poaceae
Description: partial small subunit ribosomal RNA
Source: RNAcentral